RNAcentral lists this ribosomal RNA (433 nucleotides) under uncultured bacterium. RNAcentral's name for it is "bacterial SSU rRNA". It matches the Rfam family "Bacterial small subunit ribosomal RNA", at positions 43 to 524 of the family's 1533-position model. The record is from RNAcentral.
CAGGCCUAACACAUGCAAGUCGAACGCACCGCAAGGUGAGUGGCAGACGGGUGAGUAACGCGUGGGAAUCUACCCAGUCCUUCGGAAUAACACAGGGAAACUUGUGCUAAUACCGGAUACGCCCUACGGGGGAAAGAUUUAUCGGGAUUGGAUGAGCCCGCGUUGGAUUAGCUAGUUGGUGGGGUAAUGGCCUACCAAGGCGACGAUCCAUAGCUGGUCUGAGAGGAUGAUCAGCCACACUGGGACUGAGACACGGCCCAGACUCCUACGGGAGGCAGCAGUGGGGAAUAUUGGACAAUGGGCGAAAGCCUGAUCCAGCCAUGCCGCGUGAGUGAUGAAGGCCUUAGGGUUGUAAAGCUCUUUCAGUGGGGAAGAUAAUGACGGUACCCACAGAAGAAGCCCCGGCUAACUUCGUGCCAGCAGCCGCGGUAAU